GAUGAACGCUGGCGGCGUGCCUAAUACAUGCAAGUCGAGCGAACGGACGAGAAGCUUGCUUCUCUGAUGUUAGCGGCGGACGGGUGAGUAACACGUGGAUAACCUACCUAUAAGACUGGGAUAACUUCGGGAAACCGGAGCUAAUACCGGAUAAUAUUUUGAACCGCAUGGUUCAAAAGUGAAAGACGGUCUUGCUGUCACUUAUAGAUGGAUCCGCGCUGCAUUAGCUAGUUGGUAAGGUAACGGCUUACCAAGGCAACGAUGCAUAGCCGACCUGAGAGGGUGAUCGGCCACACUGGAACUGAGACACGGUCCAGACUCCUACGGGAGGCAGCAGUAGGGAAUCUUCCGCAAUGGGCGAAAGCCUGACGGAGCAACGCCGCGUGAGUGAUGAAGGUCUUCGGAUCGUAAAACUCUGUUAUUAGGGAAGAACAUAUGUGUAAGUAACUAUGCACAUCUUGACGGUACCUAAUCAGAAGGCCACGGCUAACUACG
RNAcentral lists this ribosomal RNA (495 nucleotides) under uncultured bacterium. RNAcentral describes it as "partial 16S ribosomal RNA". It matches the Rfam family "Bacterial small subunit ribosomal RNA", at positions 28 to 505 of the family's 1533-position model. The record is from RNAcentral.